This 77-nucleotide transfer RNA is filed under the name Pseudomonadota bacterium. RNAcentral's name for it is "Proteobacteria bacterium (cold seep metagenome) tRNA-Arg". It matches the Rfam family "tRNA". From Rfam's summary of the family: Transfer RNA (tRNA) molecules are approximately 80 nucleotides in length. Their secondary structure includes four short double-helical elements and three loops (D, anti-codon, and T loops). RNAcentral also lists the same sequence under 5 other names. Lineage: Bacteria; Pseudomonadati; Pseudomonadota. The record is from RNAcentral.
GCGCCCAUAGCUCAGUUGGAUAGAGUAACGGACUACGAAUCCGUAGGUCGCAGGUUCGAAUCCUGCUGGGCGCACCA